CGCGGCUGGAAACGCAGAGUCAGUGAAGGGGUUGCUGGGGCUUAGUAGGCGGCGACUUCCGGGAAGAAGGAGCAGAGUGGAGAGCUGCAAAGCGUGUAAAAGGAUGGGUCCUGUGGACUGUACCUGGGAUUCCAGCCUUGAAAGAAAGUGCUUUCGGACUGUGCCUUGUGCUUCUAGAGAAUGAAAUGCCGGUGGCCUGGAUUUGUGGGGUUACCAGCCCCUUCCCCACCCCAACAAGGCUAUCUGGACCUCAUAUAGGUGGAUAUAUGUCAUUAAGAUUCUAACGUUUGAGCUGAAUGCAUUAAGUUACUGGACAUAUAGAAUUACAUCAUUUGAAAAAGAGGGACGCCUGGGUGGCUCAGUUGGUUGGACGACUGCCUUCGACUCAGGUCAUGAUCCUGGAGUCCCGGGAUCGAGUCCCGCAUCAGACUCCCAGCUCCAUGGGGAGUCUGCUUCUCCCUCUGACCUUCUCCUCAUUCUUGCUCUCUGUCACUGUCUCUCUCUCACGUAAGUAAAUAAAAUCUAAAAAAAAAAAAAAAAAAAAAUAAAUGUUGUUUAUAAUUUCAAGGAUGCUUAAGUAUGCUGGUUUUGUUCUGUGCAAAUGUGCAGCAUAUUCACUGCAUAUCACAUUUUGACUGCUAAUAUUGAUCACACAUUAUAAAGUGUAUCUAAAUAUGCUUUUAAACUGUUCUACAUG
RNAcentral lists this long non-coding RNA (697 nucleotides) under Mustela putorius furo (domestic ferret). RNAcentral's name for it is "lncRNA (ENSMPUG00000026056.1)". The record is from RNAcentral. Lineage: Eukaryota; Metazoa; Chordata; Mammalia; Carnivora; Mustelidae.